This 239-nucleotide ribosomal RNA is filed under the name uncultured bacterium. Its description in RNAcentral is "partial 16S ribosomal RNA". It matches the Rfam family "Bacterial small subunit ribosomal RNA", at positions 99 to 334 of the family's 1533-position model. The record is from RNAcentral.
CGAUCGGGUGAGUAACACGUAGGUGACCUACCUCGAAGCGGGGGAUAACGGUCCGAAAGGACUGCUAAUACCCCAUGUGGUGAGCGAUUCAUUUCGCUUCUGAAAGGUUCCGAAAGGUUCCGCUUCGGGAGGGGCCUGCGGCCCAUCAGGUAGUUGGUGGGGUAAUGGCCUACCAAGCCAAUGACGGGUAGCUAGUCUGAGAGGACGAUUAGCCACACUGGCACUGACACACGGGCCAG